Molecule: ribosomal RNA, 814 nt
Filed under: Bacillus paralicheniformis
Lineage: Bacteria; Bacillati; Bacillota; Bacilli; Caryophanales; Bacillaceae
Description: bacterial SSU rRNA
Rfam family: Bacterial small subunit ribosomal RNA
Source: RNAcentral
AAAUGCAAGUCGAGCGGACCGACGGGAGCUUGCUCCCUUAGGUCAGCGGCGGACGGGUGAGUAACACGUGGGUAACCUGCCUGUAAGACUGGGAUAACUCCGGGAAACCGGGGCUAAUACCGGAUGCUUGAUUGAACCGCAUGGUUCAAUCAUAAAAGGUGGCUUUUAGCUACCACUUACAGAUGGACCCGCGGCGCAAUAGCUAGUUGGUGAGGUAACGGCUCACCAAGGCGACGAUGCGUAGCCCACCUGAGAGGGUGAUCGGCCACACUGGGACUGAAACACGGCCCAGACUCCUACGGGAGGCAGCAGUAGGGAAUCUUCCGCAAUGGACGAAAGUCUGACGGAACAACGCCGCGUGAGUGAUGAAGGUUUUCGGAUCGUAAAACUCUGUUGUUAGGGAAGAACAAGUACCGUUCGAAUAGGGCGGUACCUUGACGGUACCUAACCAGAAAGCCACGGCUAACUACGUGCCAGCAGCCGCGGUAAUACGUAAGUGGCAAGCGUUGUCCGGAAUUAUUGGGCGUAAAGCGCGCGCAGGCGGUUUCUUAAGUCUGAUGUGAAAGCCCCCGGCUCAACCGGGGAGGGUCAUUGGAAACUGGGGAACUUGAGUGCAGAAGAGGAGAGUGGAAUUCCACGUGUAGCGGUGAAAUGCGUAGAGAUGUGGAGGAACACCAGUGGCGAAGGCGACUCUCUGGUCUGUAACUGACGCUGAGGCGCGAAAGCGUGGGGAGCGAACAGGAUUAGAUACCCUGGUAGUCCACGCCGUAAACGAUGAGUGCUAAGUGUUAGAGGGUUUCCGCCCUUUAGUGCU